RNAcentral lists this ribosomal RNA (119 nucleotides) under Arabidopsis thaliana (thale cress). The record is from RNAcentral. Lineage: Eukaryota; Viridiplantae; Streptophyta; Magnoliopsida; Brassicales; Brassicaceae.
AGAUGCGAUCAUACCAUCACCAAUGCACCAGAUCCCAUCAGAACUUCGCAGUUAAGCGUGCUUGGGCGAGAGUAGUACUAGCAUGAGUGACCUCCAGGAAAGUCCUCGUGUUUCAUCAC